UGAUUCACAGCUAAUCCUACAGGAGAUCUGACUGGCUCAAUUUGGCAACCCUGUCAUUCUAUCAACGCAACUUCUGAAAAAUAUCUGCCUUGCUCAAAGCCUAAGGGGCAGUGGGGGCCACAUCAUAUCACUACUGGGCAGUUCUUACAUUGAUCCCAAGAACAAGGAAUGAUGAUUUAAUGAAAGUAAUGAAUAUCAUUAUCAAAAUUGCUUUGAAGGUCAUAGCCUGAGAAGCUAUGGGAAAUACCCCCCAACAGCUGAAGGAAAGUCAGACACCUAGAAAGGAGAAUUCGAUAUGUGGAUCAACACUAUUAGAGCCAGAAAUAAUAUCACUGGGCUCAUCGGCUUAAAAUGU
This 355-nucleotide long non-coding RNA is filed under the name Bos taurus (domestic cattle). RNAcentral describes it as "long non-coding RNA NONBTAT006087". Lineage: Eukaryota; Metazoa; Chordata; Mammalia; Artiodactyla; Bovidae. The record is from RNAcentral.